Molecule: ribosomal RNA, 492 nt
Filed under: uncultured bacterium
Lineage: Bacteria
Description: partial 16S ribosomal RNA
Rfam family: Bacterial small subunit ribosomal RNA
Source: RNAcentral
AGUGAACGCUGGCGGUAGGCCUAACACAUGCAAGUCGAACGGCAGCACAGUAAGAGCUUGCUCUUACGGGUGGCGAGUGGCGGACGGGUGAGGAAUACAUCGGAAUCUACUUUUUCGUGGGGGAUAACGUAGGGAAACUUACGCUAAUACCGCAUACGACCUACGGGUGAAAGCAGGGGAUCUUCGGACCUUGCGCGAUUGAAUGAGCCGAUGUCGGAUUAGCUAGUUGGCGGGGUAAAGGCCCACCAAGGCGACGAUCCGUAGCUGGUCUGAGAGGGUGAUCAGCCACACUGGAACUGAGACACGGUCCAGGCUCCUACGGGAGGCAGCAGUGGGGAAUAUUGGACAAUGGGCGCAAGCCUGAUCCAGCCAUACCGCGUGGGUGAAGAAGGCCUUCGGGUUGUAAAGCCCUUUUGUUGGGAAAGAAAAGCAGCAGGUUAAUACCCCGCUGUUCUGACGGUACCCAAAGAAUAAGCACCGGCUAACUUCGUG